UUUAACUCGUUUUGAAUUGAAACGUUGUUGUUGUUGUUAUUAUUGUUGUUGUUGUUGUGGAAUUGUUAUAAUUCAGAAUCUAAAUUUCACAUAGUUAAAUUUCUUGUUAAUCUUGAUAUGAGGAUGUGGAGGUGGAGGAUUAUGCUAGAAAGUUAGUAGGUAGGCGAGAGUUGUGUAGUUUCAAAAUUAAUAUUAUUUAGAGGGGUUCGAGGCAAAUUUGUUUAUAAGGCCUUUAUGUUGAAUUUUGAGCUGAAAUUUGUUUUUGUGAAGCUAUAUUGGGGUCUGGGGAUUAAGAUUUUUUGGUAAUAGAGUUGUUAAAUGUAUUCAAAUGGAAUUGAAUUGAUACAGAGGAUUUGUAUGGAGAGAUGUUUAACUAGUUUGGGAUUGAGACAUUAUUGUUGUUGUGGAGUUGUUCCAAUUCAGGUAGUUAAAUUUCUUGUUAAUCUUGAUAUGAGGAUAUGGAGGUGAAGGAUUAUGCUAGAAAGUUAGUAGGUAGUCGAGAGCUGUGUAGUUUCAAAUUUAAUCUUUUUUUGAAUGGAUCAAUGGGUUAAUUUGAGGAUUUAUUUAGUGGGGUUCGAGGCAAUUUUGUUUGUAGAGCGUUUACGUUGAAUUUUGAGUUGAAAUUUAUUUUGGUUAAAUGUGCCUAAAUGGAGUUUAAUGGAUAUGGAGGAUUCAUAUGGAAAUUGCUUAGCUAGUUUAGGAUUGAGAUGUCGUUGUUGAGUUCUUAUAAUUUAGAUAUCAUUUAGUGAAAUUUCUUGUUUAUCUUGGAUAAGAGGAUGUGUAGGACGAGAAUCAGGGUAGAAAGUAGGUAGUUUGAGAGUUGUUAAAUGGGCUCAAAUGGAGUUGGAUGGGAUAUAGAGGAUUUUUACUGAGAUCGCAUAGCUAGUUUGAGAACGAGACGUUUUUUUUGUGCAGUUCUUCUAAUUUAGAUAACAUUUAGCAAAUUCUCUUGUUAAUCUUAGAUAUGAGAUAUGAGAGAUGAGAAUAUGGAGGUGAAGGUAGUUGAGAGUUGUAUAGUGUUUCUCUUUUCAGUAGCAUAAUUAUUAAUUACUCUUUUAACUUAUCUUAGAGUUCAAUGGAUUUAGAGGAUUCAUAUGGAGAUUCCUUAAGAACAUGCAAAUUGCUCCGCCUAAGCAGAGAGAGAGAAGAGAGAAACAAAAAAAGUACGGCAAAAGCAAAAAGCAUUAGCAACGACCCCCCACACUGUACCAUUCUGCAGGUGAUAGGCAUGCCAAUGAUGAAGUAGUUCUUAAACCAGUCCCCAUUUAUUUCAUCAGCCAUGAAUCUCAACUUCUGGACUCAUUUCUCUACCCUUCCCCAAAAAAUGAGUUGGUUGUUGGACUUGACUGCAAGGGUGUUGACCUUGGUAGAUACGGAGCUCUCUGUAUUUUGCAGGUUUGUUUCAGUUCUCACAUGUUCUGAGUAGAUGCCAACUUCGUGCCUCGCUUGAUUUCCAAUACUAUGAUGUUAUGAUGUUAUUCAAUAGUAGCUUUGCAUUAUACUAUCAGUUUGGUAUCAAGUUGCACAAUGUUAUGGAUACCCAGGUUAGCUUCUGGUGCUUUCUUUCGAGCCACUUGACUACUAGUUUCUCCUGUUAUCACGUGCAAUACUUUUUAACAAAAGUAAUAAGUGAUUCACGCAUUACUCUCCUGCUGUUUAAUCUGGCUCUUUGAAUACUGAUUGCGUGUUUUCGUUUCUACAACCUCAUACGUAUGACGUCUUUCUUAUUAUUGUUCACCGGAUUGUUCUGAUUUCCCAGCCGUGAUAGUUUUGAUUUCUAGUCGGGGUUUGCUAGUAUAUAUUCUCGUUAUAUUUUGUUAAAUUUACUCCGUCUAAAAAAGAGCCGGGAGUCUAUCGGAAACAACCUCUCUACUUCUUCGGAUUCGGAGGUAGCUGUAUGGACUGCGUACAUUCUACCUUCCCCAGACCCCACUUUGUGGGAAUACACUGGGUUUGUUGUUGUUGUUGUUGUUGUAUAUGGAGAUUCCUUAACUAGUUUGGAAUUGAGAUUUUGCUGCGGUGGUGGUGGAGUUCUGAUUAGAUUUUCAUUUAGCAAACUUUCUUGUUUAUGAUAGGAGAAUGUGGAGGUUGAGUAUUAGGGUAGAAAGUUAGUAGGCAGCCGAGAGUUGCUAAAUGUACAUAUAUAGAGUUUAAUGGAUAUCAAGGAUUCAUAUGGAGAUUGCUUAACUAGUUUGGAAUCGAGACGCUGUUGUUGAGUUCUUCUAAUUUAGAUAUACAACAUCAUACCUAGUGUAAUCGCACAAAGUGGAGUUUGGGGAGGAUAGAGUGUACGCAGAUCAUAUAUCGACCUCAGAGGUAGAGAGGCCUUUUUUUGAUAAACCCUCAGCUCAAGAAUUCUAAUUUAGAUAUCAUUUAUCAAAUUUCUUGUUAAUCUAGAUGUGUGGAUGCAAAGGUCGAGGAUUAGGGCAAAAACUUAGUAAGUAGUGGAAGUUAUUAAAUGUGCCCAAAUGGAGUUCAACGGAUAUAGAGGGUUUGUAUGGAGAUUGGUUGACUAGUUUGGGAUCGAGAUGUUGUGGUUUUCUCGGGGAGUUCUAAUUUAGAUAUCAUUUAAUGAAAUUUCUUGUUAAUCUUAGAUAUAUGGAUGUGAGGUCGAGAAUUAGGAUAGAAAGGUAGUAGGUACUCUGAGUUGUAUAGUUUUUUUUUUUUUUUUAAAUUAUUAUUAAAUUACUCUUUUUACUAUCUUAGAGUUCAAUGGAUAUAGAGGAUUCAUAUGGAGAUGCUUAGCUAGUUUGGGAUCGAGACAUUGUUGUUUCUUCGUGGAGUUCUUCUAAUUUAGAUAUUGUUUGGUAAAAUUUCUUGUUCAUCUUGGAUAUGAGGAUGUGGAGGUCGAGUAUUAGGGUAGAAAGUUAGUAGGUAGUCGAGAAUUGCUAAAUGUGCCCAAGGGGAGUUGAAUGGAUAUAGAGGAUUCAGAUGGAGAUUGCUUAACUAGUUUUGGAUCGAGAUGUUGUUGAUGUGGAGUUCUUCUAAUUUGGAUUCUCAUUUAGCGAAAUUUCUUGUUAAUCUAGAUAUGAGGAUGUGGAAGUCGAGAAUUAGGGUAGAAAGUUUGUAGGUUGUCAAGAGUUAUAUGGUUUCUCUUUUAAGUAUUAUUAUAACUAUUUUUACUAUCUUAAGUUCAAUGGAUAUAGAGGAUUCAUGUGGAAAUGGUUAGCUAGUUUGGGAUCGAGACGUUGUUGCUGUGGAGUUGUUCUAAUUUAGAUAUCAUUUAGCAAAAUUUCUUUCUAAUUUUAGAUAUGAGGAUUUGGAGUUCGAGGAUUAGGGUGGAAAGCUAGCCGGUAGUCCAGAGCUGUAUAGUUUCUCUUUUCAGUAUUGUUAUUACUCUUUUUACUAUCUUGGUGUUCGAUUUCUUGUUACCCUGCAUUUACUUUCACCCUGACCGUUUGUUAUUGCUACGGUUCUUUUCUUCAUUAUUUUCUAAUUAUAUGGAGAUUCCUUAACUAGUUUGGAAUUGAGAUUUUGCUGCGGUGGUGGUGGAGUUCUGAUUAGAUUUUCAUUUAGCAAACUUUCUUGUUUAUGAUAGGAGAAUGUGGAGGUUGAGUAUUAGGGUAGAAAGUUAGUAGGCAGCCGAGAGUUGCUAAAUGUACAUAUAUAGAGUUUAAUGGAUAUCAAGGAUUCAUAUGGAGAUUGCUUAACUAGUUUGGAAUCGAGACGCUGUUGUUGAGUUCUUCUAAUUUAGAUAUACAACAUCAUACCUAGUGUAAUCGCACAAAGUGGAGUUUGGGGAGGAUAGAGUGUACGCAGAUCAUAUAUCGACCUCAGAGGUAGAGAGGCCUUUUUUUGAUAAACCCUCAGCUCAAGAAUUCUAAUUUAGAUAUCAUUUAUCAAAUUUCUUGUUAAUCUAGAUGUGUGGAUGCAAAGGUCGAGGAUUAGGGCAAAAACUUAGUAAGUAGUGGAAGUUAUUAAAUGUGCCCAAAUGGAGUUCAACGGAUAUAG
Molecule: long non-coding RNA, 3951 nt
Filed under: Capsicum annuum
Lineage: Eukaryota; Viridiplantae; Streptophyta; Magnoliopsida; Solanales; Solanaceae
Description: long non-coding RNA (CANN_LNC013516)
Source: RNAcentral